RNAcentral lists this non-coding RNA (26 nucleotides) under Homo sapiens (human). Lineage: Eukaryota; Metazoa; Chordata; Mammalia; Primates; Hominidae. The record is from RNAcentral.
CACUUUGGGAGGCCAAGGUGGGUGUA